AAAACCACCCGUGCACCUUCCUCAUUAGCAACCGUGCACCUUCCUCAAGGAGUGAUAGAUGACAAACCAAUUUUAUUCUUACAAAACUGCCAAGUUACCCUCUAUGGAAGAACAACUGUUCCCAAAAAAGGCAAACUGAGCCAAUAAUAUGUCCCUGCUCAGUACAGCGCACCAAAUAGCGAUGGAUGACUUUGGCUACCGAUCCAAAACCGCAGAAAACUAUUACCUACUAUGAUAAAAGCAAUGUUGUUGUUGACGUUACGGACCAGUGGACCCGGGGCUAUACGGGGAACAGAUGGCCUGUUGCUUUAUCCUACAGCUGGCUUGACCUCGCUGGUAUCAAUGCACAUGUUCCGUACAAUCAGCACACAGGCAAAACAAUUAGGGCUGCAAAAUUCCGGGAAUUUUCAGAGUUGGAAACUUUCCAUGGGAUAACGGGAAUUUAUUGGAAUAAGCCGGGAGUUUACAAAAUUAAAGGUUGGCUCUUAACAGGGGACUUAAAUAUAGUGGGGGAAAGUAUAUUUUAGCAUAAUCUUGACUAACGCAACCAGAUUUCAUGCAAGUAAACUUGAAUAUCUAUGCUAUUCCUCAAUCACGCUAGCACACUGCUUACUGCAGGGCUAUUGAGACCACGCCCCCUACAGGCACUGUGCAUUCCUCCUACCUCCUGCACUGAUGACUCCUAGAACCCUGGACCACACCUUUGAGCCCAGAUUAUAUUUAACUCAAAAUUCAUGUUUUUGUUCUUCAAUGAAGUAAUAAAAUAAUUAGAACUUGUUAGAGUUCUACUUGCAAAUAAAUCUGCUAAAAUAAUGUUUUAAGUUUUUGUAGUCUUUUAAUAGUUAUUUUAUAGUGUUAUUUUGCAUGGAUUUCUACUUAUUACCAAAAAAAAAAUAUAUAUAUGCUUGGAUAUGAUGCAGUUAGAUUAAAUUACCCUAAAUUCCUAGUUAAUUCCCAUGAUUUUCAGAUUUUCCAAAAUUCCCAAGCUUAACUUCCAAUGGUGAUUUACCGUAAAUAUUACGGAAAUUUUCAAUCCCUUUGCAACCCUCAAAACCAUACUGGACUAUUGAUAACAUGUUCAGGGAACCAAACUAGGCCAUGGUGUAAAACAUGUCUAUGGCUCAAUAUAAACAAUGCAAAUCAAGUCCUGUCAACACUGUUGCCAGUAGAAAUAAAUGUUCAGUCAAUUAAAGUGCGUCCUUUGUCGCACAUUUCAAACAGUUAACAACUUAAAGUUCUAUUGGUAGGGCAUUGUAGCUAGAAUAGCUUAGCAUUUAGCUUGCAUUGACUGUAAUAUGUGUGUUGUAUACAAGGUAUAUACUUCUCAGGCACUCUCUCACACCUCACAAGGUCCAGGCGCAGGAACACGCAGGAAACGGCUGCAGGAACUGGGCACAACAUUGGUAGAUGAGCUGACUUUAAAUAACCCAAAAAUAAUCGCACAAAAUAGAAUGUAAAAGGCCAUGAAUGUACAUGAGCACAAUAAAGACAUGAAUAGAACGGACUUACCGGAAUAAUGUGUAGGGGUGGGUGGUAGACGAGGAACUUGGCUCUCAACGAACAAAUCAAGGUCCUUGUGCUCUGUACCAAUGCCCUUGGGCUGUGGAGUGCUCUGAGGGUUAUUUCUCUGUUUUCAAUUAACGAGAGCACUUUUUUAAAAUAGUUAUUCUAAGCUCUACAAAUGGAAAAUAAUUUCAUACAAAAACAUGCCUUGUUUUGAAACUGUCAUUGGCAAAAAUGGGAGUCCACUGCCCUGUACUACAAACCGUGAUUAGUGGUUUAGCGAGGUUUGUUGCGCUCAAAGCCUUGGUUAGCUGGGACACAAAAGUCGCUCUCUUUUAGCAUAUCUGUAAAAUAACCAUGGUGACUUAUGCUAUCAACCAAACCUGGUCGGGAGCAGGUUUUCAGCUAAGACAAUCGGGUUAGAUCGGCGUGCGCAGCUUCCUAGCCCCUUCUUUGACAUUGUCGUCACCAUUACUGGGUGUUCCCGUGGACCUCGGAGCCCGUAUUGAAAUGGGUCUCUCUGACCGAGGCUCUUUCGGGACAGAUCCCUUGGCAUUGCCUGAGAAUAUUCUUUAUAAGAAAUACAGGUUCUCAUCAGAAGGUAUUCGCUAUUUGAUCGCCCUUGUUGGAACUUAUGUAAACAAUGCUUACUGUUACGCAGUGUGUCUCCGUGAAAGAGUGGAGGUAGCGAGUCAGUCUUCAAUUUCUGCAUGUGGGGUUCUUCUCCCCACCGCUGCGCAUUUA
Molecule: long non-coding RNA, 2247 nt
Organism: Gadus macrocephalus (Pacific cod)
Lineage: Eukaryota; Metazoa; Chordata; Actinopteri; Gadiformes; Gadidae
Exons: 2
Source: RefSeq, a predicted model, not a curated record